Molecule: non-coding RNA, 823 nt
Organism: Pogona vitticeps (central bearded dragon)
Lineage: Eukaryota; Metazoa; Chordata; Lepidosauria; Squamata; Agamidae
Source: RefSeq, a predicted model, not a curated record
CUGCUUUUUCCCAUACCUCAGAUGGUCAUGGGUAUCUCAGAUGAAGCAGACUGGUAUUCAAUUGGAGAUUACUUUCAUGCUAUGUAGGUGGACCUUCACAGAUCAGAUGUGACAUAUGAGACUUUCUGAAUUCCCAAUGUCAUGCCAGUCACAAUGUUUCAAGUCAUGAGUUCAACAGAAACUUGGCAAGACAUAAAACGGCAAGAUGUUAAGUAAAUCUACAUGUGUAAAAUAGAACUAACAAUGCUCAGUGGAGAAAUGGUCCAAAGAAUGCAGAUCAUCUUUUACCUCUGAGGUUCCUAGGACAUCUGAGCAGGCCAUGGUAUUCCUUGAUAAAUAUGGACAGAGAAGGACCAAUGAAAGCCAGCUUAAUUAAUUAGGUCUGAGCUAAAGGAAGUUUUGAUCCAAGCCAACCUUUAGGAUUAGAAUUCUUCCAAAUGGUGACUUCUUUAUUUUCCAGAGUUCUAAUUCUGUUGAAGAGCUUCCAUUACCCUCCACACACACACAGGGCAAUGGGAUUGAUGACAAAGGAAGAACCCAGUUCUGUUCAUGUUUGAUCAAGAGCAACCUCAUGCAAUGGGAAUUACCCUCAAGCAACUGCAAACAGCUGCACUGUAUAUGGUGACAACCAUGUACUCCCCAAUUCUAUGCUUGAUUACUCAGAAAGUUCCUCUGGGCUAAAAAAGAUUUGAGCAUGUAGCAUCAUGUCUCAUGCAGUCUAACACAGCACAACUGAUGUGAAUGAGGUUAUUAUAAAGUCAAACACACCCAAUAUAUGCUAUUGAGAAUGUGAUACAGGCCACAAUGAAUAAAAAAGUAAUGA